ACUCCUACGGGAGGCAUCAGUAGGGAAUAUUGCACAAUGGGGGAAACCCUGAUGCAGCAAUGCCACGUGAGCGAGGAAGGUCUUCGGAUUGUAAAGCUCUGUCCUAUAGGAAGAAUGGUAUUAUGGUUAAUACCCAUAGUAUUUGACGGUACUAUAGAAGAAAGCACCGGCUAACUCCGUGCCAGCAGCCGCGGUAAUACGGAGGGUGCAAGCGUUGUUCGGAUUUACUGGGCGUAAAGCGCGCGCAGGCGGAUAAGCAAGUCAGAUGUGAAAUCUCGGGGCUCAACCCCGAAACUGCGUCUGAAACUGUUUAUCUAGAGUCUCAUAGGGGGUAGGGGAAUUUCACGUGUAGGGGUAAAAUCCGUAGAGAUGUGAAGGAACACCGGUGGCGAAGGCGCCUACCUGGAUGAGUACUGACGCUGAGGCGCGAAAGCGUGGGGAGCAAACAGGAUUAGAUACCCUGGUAGCUACGAGU
RNAcentral lists this ribosomal RNA (475 nucleotides) under uncultured bacterium. RNAcentral's name for it is "bacterial SSU rRNA". It matches the Rfam family "Bacterial small subunit ribosomal RNA", at positions 335 to 802 of the family's 1533-position model. The record is from RNAcentral.